RNAcentral lists this ribosomal RNA (141 nucleotides) under Brassica rapa (field mustard). RNAcentral describes it as "partial 28S ribosomal RNA". It matches the Rfam family "Eukaryotic large subunit ribosomal RNA", at positions 1 to 141 of the family's 3401-position model. RNAcentral also lists the same sequence under 9 other names. The record is from RNAcentral. Lineage: Eukaryota; Viridiplantae; Streptophyta; Magnoliopsida; Brassicales; Brassicaceae.
CGACCCCAGGUCAGGCGGGAUCACCCGCUGAGUUUAAGCAUAUCAAUAAGCGGAGGAAAAGAAACUAACAAGGAUUCCCUUAGUAACGGCGAGCGAACCGGGAAGAGCCCAGCUUGAAAAUCGGACGUCUUCGGCGUUCGA